UCUUAUGUUUCCUCUAUCCAUACUCCUCAAGUUAAUUUAUGUUGUCCCUCCGCCUGGUGAAGACAGUUUGUCUCCUAGCUGUCCUCUCUGCUGCUGAUAGAACAGCGGCUUCUGUAGACAGAAAUGGUGCAACAGAGGCUGGAGCCACCGUGGAAUAAGCAGAUGGACGCCAGUCGCGCUUACAGGCCGCUGACAUUUUACUUCUGGUGUGUAUGUGAAAUCAGCAACUGUAGAUGUACAGACAAGUGGCUCUCAGAGAAGUGUCUCUGUCCUUAAUAUUCCUGAUGCUGCCACUAACAACAAGGAUGAAGGGACAUCGUGGAAGCAUCGACUCUUUGGUUGCUCACUGAAAAAGCAAAGUGUCGUCACCUCAAAAAACGGCAAAACCACUGAGUCCAAAAAGGCUCCCAAGUUUCAGUGGUGGCACUGUUGCAGGAAAAGAAAUCAGGUCGCACCAGCUCCUGAAGAGCAGAGGCAAAAUGUACAGAGCCUGGAGGGGCAGAGCCCAGAAGGGCAGACCCCGGAAGGUG
Molecule: long non-coding RNA, 530 nt
Organism: Etheostoma cragini (Arkansas darter)
Lineage: Eukaryota; Metazoa; Chordata; Actinopteri; Perciformes; Percidae
Exons: 6
Source: RefSeq, a predicted model, not a curated record